GGCUCAGGAUGAACGCUAGCGGCAGGCCUAACACAUGCAAGUCGAGGGGUAACAGGGUAGCAAUAUUGCUGACGACCGGCGCACGGGUGAGUAACGCGUAUGCAACCUUCCUUUAACUGGGGGAUAGCCCGGAGAAAUUCGGAUUAAUACCCCAUAACAUCAUAGAAAGGCAUCUUUCAGUGAUUAAAGCUCCGGCGGUUAAAGAUGGGCAUGCGUGCCAUUAGCUUGUUGGUGAGGUAACGGCUCACCAAGGCUACGAUGGUUAGGGGGUCUGAGAGGAUGAUCCCCCACACUGGUACUGAGACACGGACCAGACUCCUACGGGAGGCAGCAGUGAGGAAUAUUGGGCAAUGGGCGCAAGCCUGACCCAGCCAUGCCGCGUGAAGGAUGAAUGCCCUAUGGGUUGUAAACUUCUUUUGUACGGGACGAAACUCCUGGUCGUGACCGGGAUUGACUGUACCGUGCGAAUAAGCAUCGGCUAACUCCGUGCCAGCAGCCGCGGUAAUACGGAGGAUGCAAGCGUUAUCCGGAUUCAUUGGGUUUAAAGGGUGCGUAGGCGGAAUAAUAAGUCAGUGGUGAAAGCCUGCGGCUUAACCGUAGAAAUGCCAUUGAUACUGUUAUUCUUGAGUAUAGUUGAGGUGGGCGGAAUGUGUAAUGUAGCGGUGAAAUGCUUAGAUAUUACACAGAACACCAAUUGCGAAGGCAGCUCACUAAGCUGUUACUGACGCUGAGGCACGAAAGCGUGGGGAGCAAACAGGAUUAGAUACCCUGGUAGUCCACGCCGUAAACGAUGAUCACUCGUUGUUGGCGAUACACCGUCAGCGACUGAGCGAAAGCAAUAAGUGAUCCACCUGGGGAGUACGGCGG
Molecule: ribosomal RNA, 867 nt
Filed under: uncultured bacterium
Lineage: Bacteria
Description: bacterial SSU rRNA
Rfam family: Bacterial small subunit ribosomal RNA
Source: RNAcentral